RNAcentral lists this transfer RNA (67 nucleotides) under Marmota monax (woodchuck). RNAcentral describes it as "tRNA.Ala". Lineage: Eukaryota; Metazoa; Chordata; Mammalia; Rodentia; Sciuridae. The record is from RNAcentral.
UUAUGGCUCAAGUGGUAGAGUGCUUGGCUAGCAUGCAUGAGGCACUGGGUUCGAUCCUCAGCAGAAA